GGUAUUUUGACUAUACGAAGGUACUGAAAUAAGGCUUUAAUUGAGUGCUAAGAGAAUGGUUAAACAGGGACUAACUUUCUUUAAAUUUAUGAUGGAAGUUGAUUUAAAAAUGAAAAAGUUUUUAUUAAUUUUUGGGACAAGAAGACCCUAUGAAUUUUUUUUAAAAAGUUAUUUAUUAUUUUUAAAAAGGAAAAUGAAGUAUUUUUUUAAAUUGGUUGGGGUGAUUUUUAAAGAAUAGUUAUCUUUAAAAAAGGUUGGAAUUAGAACCAUAUUUUGUGGCUAUUUAAAUUAAAUACUCUAGGGUUAACAGCGUAAUUAUUUUGGAUAGUUCAUAUAGAUAAGAUAGUUUGCGACCUCGAUGUUGGAUUAAGAUACUUAUAUAGUGAAGAAGUUAUAUCAAGGAGUUUGCUCAACUUUUAAAAUCUU
RNAcentral lists this ribosomal RNA (426 nucleotides) under Alectorobius microlophi. RNAcentral describes it as "Ornithodoros microlophi partial large subunit ribosomal RNA". Lineage: Eukaryota; Metazoa; Arthropoda; Arachnida; Ixodida; Argasidae. The record is from RNAcentral.